GUCCUCAGUGUAAUGGCCCAAAAGUAUGC
This 29-nucleotide small RNA is filed under the name Bombyx mori (domestic silkworm). RNAcentral's name for it is "ovarian small RNA-17757". The record is from RNAcentral. Lineage: Eukaryota; Metazoa; Arthropoda; Insecta; Lepidoptera; Bombycidae.